Helianthus annuus (common sunflower) is the source of this 2492-nucleotide long non-coding RNA. RefSeq lists it as uncharacterized. The transcript has 7 exons. The record is from RefSeq and is a predicted model, not a curated record. NCBI's taxonomy places the organism in Eukaryota, Viridiplantae, Streptophyta, Magnoliopsida, Asterales, Asteraceae.
CCCUCUCUCUCUCUCAAAUUAUAGUUCUGAAUUCAUUUCAAAAUUUAAAUUAUAAUUUCAAUCCCCUCACUCUCUUGUGUAUUCUUGUGUAAUGUAUAGUUUCAAAUUUGAAACAAGACAAAUGAUGUUAUUAAACAUGUUUAUGUUUGCUAUUUAUAAUCUUGUGUAAUGUAAUGUAAUGUAAGGUUUGAUAAAAAAAACCAUAUCUGAUUUUAAUCUCUGGUUUUCUUCCUGUCAUUCUAUUCAACCUCUACACUGAUGAAUCGUUAUGACGACAGAGUUGUGACACCGGUUCUUACCAUCAGCGUCCAAGACCUGAUGAAGAGAAACUGUUUGCAGAACGUGCCCAGUACCAUAAAAAGCAUUGUUGAUGAAGAUUAGGUUGAGUUAUGUGGUGAUUGAGUUGGUUUUAUCACGUUUUGGAUUUGCUUCUAAUGAGAACCGGUUUCUUGAACCGAAUUAUGAGGCCUAGGCUAGUAAUAACAGCAUUGCUUACCUCCGCUUUAUGGCUCUCAGUGAGGAAAGUCUUAAUCGGUGCAGUGAGCGUGCGAGCGCAGCCGCAGUGGCUCAUCAACGCAGCCACAACGAGCGCAGCGGGGCAGCAAGCGCAACCACAGCGAGAGGAAUGAUAAGUAGAGGCGCCAUUUUCAGCCAAUGUCCGCGCACCCGCAGUGGCGCAGCGAACACAGCCGUGGCGCAUCGAACGCAGUUAUAGUUUUAGCAUGUGGGGAGAUUUCAAAGGCAACAUUUAUCAGGAUGCAACCAUAAUUAUAGAGACAGAUGCGUAGCUAGAGAACCAGAUGGUUAAAAAAAUAUUUAUAUUCGUUGGAGUUUUUACUAGAUGAUAACAGUCGGAGGGCAUCAGAUCAUUGGCAAAGACACCCAGGUGCGGCUAUUGCAUUCAGGCCUUAUAACUCUUCUUACUUGGAUUGUGAGCAUCCAGGUGUAGACCUUACAUUUGCGUUAAGAUCACAUACACCUGUGAUAAUAUUCAAGAACUAUAUGAUUUAGAAGUGGAACUUAUACGGAGGGGUUGGGCUUAUGUGGAUCACCAGCUUUUUGCAACUUUCUAGGCCUUCAAUGAUGGAUGUUUGGUCGGGUAUUUUAGCAAAAGUCCAAUAAAUAGAUUUAUGAGCAUGGAUUACUAUUUAUAUAAGACAUACUACCGUAUUCGAGAGAAACAAAAUCAUGCCAAAGCAGAACCUUGUGUUAUUGAGCUUCUGAAUGAAUCAGGGGUUAGCAACUCAACUAUGCAGCUGUACAAAGGUAUAGUGGUUCUUUCAUGCUCUCUCAUGUUAAUUUAUAUUUGAUAGUUGUGAGUUAGUACUUGGUAAUGAGCUUCCUUGCUUCAACUUAGAGAUACGUAACUGAAGCGCUUCAGGUUAGUUUUCAUUUAUUAGGUUUUUUUUUUUUUAUUUUGGUAUUGCCUGAUUUAAAAAAUAACAGCUGAAUAGGUGAGACUCACAUGUUAAGGCUUUUCAAGCCUACGAAAAAGACUUAUACCAUCGUAGGCUUGGCACGCUCACCACGACUUAUACCAUCCAUAUUGAAGAACCCAAAGUGAUCGAUGGUAAUAUUUAACCCUUUUUAAAUACUUUAGUGUUUGAAAUUAACCCGUGGUAUAAUGUUCGUUAUACUUUUUAAAUACUUUUCAUCUGCAUUUCUGUUAGAAUAAAAAUAUAUCAUGGAAAGGAAAGAUAAUUUCAAGAAUAAAACUGGGUUUGAAACUACUCUUUGGUUAAAAAAGUGUUUUGUGGAGGAAAAGUGAAACUACUGUUUUGGGUUAAAAUAGAUGUUAGAAACAGUGUUUUGGGUUAAAACGGAUGUUAGAAAAUAAAAUAGUGUUUGAAACCACUGUUGGGUUAAAACAGAUGUUAGAAACAGUGUUUUGGGUUAAAACACUGUUUUUUGGAGAAAAAGUGAAACCACUGUUUUGGGUUAAAACAGAUGUUAGAAACAGUGUUUUGGGUUAAAACAUAUGUUAGAAAAUAAAACAAUGUUUGAAACCUGUUGGGUUAAAACACUGUUUUUUUGGAGAAAAAGUGAAACCACUGUUUUGGGUUAAAACAAAUGUUAGAAACAGUGGCAGGUAGGAUGAAGUGUGUGAGCUUUUGUAUUUGGUUUAAGGUUUUGAUCCUAAACAUAAGUGUUUUUGUUACUUAUAACUGUUUGUAUACAAGAGGAUGCAAAGGAUGCAUCUGAGACAAAAGUUGCUGUGCAACUAACCUCUAAAGCAGAGGAGGGGAGUGGUGAUAAUCAUGAUGAGGGCUCAGAUGAUAGUUCUAAAGGAGAGCAUGAACCUGAAUCCACGAAGAAAAUGGUCGUUUGUCAGCAGAACAAGUGGUUGGUGUUUAGUGUUCGACUGUAAUCUUUGCUAUAUUUGAGUUAUUUUAAUUUAAGAUCAGUGUGAAGAUGCGCUUUUGGCUAAUUUUUUUAUGUUUAAUCCACUUGACCCGUUAUAAACGAUUACAUUAUGAUUGGUAUUUUUUGCA